This 397-nucleotide ribosomal RNA is filed under the name uncultured phototrophic eukaryote. RNAcentral's name for it is "bacterial SSU rRNA". It matches the Rfam family "Bacterial small subunit ribosomal RNA", at positions 397 to 807 of the family's 1533-position model. The record is from RNAcentral.
CCGCGUGAGGGAUGAAGGCCUGUGGGUCGUAAACCUCUUUUUUCUAGGAGGAAGUUCUGACGUGUACUUGAAGAAUAACCAUCGGCUAACUCCGUGCCACCAGCCGCGGUAAGACGGAGGAUGCAAGUGUUAUCCGGAAUUACUGGGCGUAAAGCGUCUGUAGGUGGUUUAGUAAGUCGAUUGUUAAAGCUUGGGGCUUAACUCCAAAACAGCAAUGGAAACUGCUAGACUUGAGUAUGGUAGAGGUAAAAGGAAUUUCCAGUGGAGCGGUGAAAUGCUUUCAUAUUGGAAAGAACACCGAUGGCGAAGGCAUUUUAGUGGGCCAUAACUGACACUCAGAGACGAAAGCUAGGGUAGCAAAUGGGAUUAAGAUACCCCAGUAGUCCUAGCUGUAAAG